CCCGUCUACACUUUUAUCUCCUGAAAAACUACUCCCUUAGUUGUGUUUCCUCAAUGCAUUUUCUCUAAAAAAAGAUUACACUUAUUAUAGGGUCUCUGUAACAACAACAUAGUGCUUAACACUGCCAUUUAAGUAUUUUUUUUCUUAGCAAAUAGAAAAAUUAGAAGUUAAGACACCUAAUUUUAAGAAAAUAAGAUUGAUCUGAAAGUAAAUGCUAAUAUAACCAACCUCUCAUGUCCUCCUCAACACUGCAGUCAGCUGUAUCUGAGAUCUGGAUGAGCUGAGACACAAAACCUACUGAAGUAUCGAGAAUAAACAGCUUCAGUGUCUGCUUUAGGGUAUGGAAAGCAGAAACUGAGCAAAACCCGAGGAAAGAAACAGUCAUCAUUAAACGCUUUCCAUCUUCAAAACACAUAAAAUGGGAAAUGAUAACUCUGGUGAACAUAGAGAACGUAGAAGGGCUGAAGAAGCUGGGGAGGGAAAAAGGAGAAUGGAAUUACAGAGAGCGAGACAGGAGCAAACAGCAGCGGAGGAAUGAUGCAGAAUCCGAACCGAAAAACAAGCACUCCAGGAACAAUACAAUAGAGUUCAAAAUGAAAGAAAUAUACAGAGAUUGAGAGAAGAAGAGAAGAAGAAAAUCGACAGCGAGAACAGAUUUAAAGAGGAAGAAGAAAGGAAAAGAAUUAACAUAGAGAAGCAAAAUGCACAGAAAGAAAACACUAACAAGCCAGUUAGUUAAACCAUUUCUAUGGUUUAUUAACAGGAUAUAUUUUUAAUUUCUAUUCAUCAUCCAGAAAGAUAGAUGCACAUCACCUAAAACAUUGUGAAGAUUUUAUUUUUCUUCUUCCGUAUGUCUACUGUAAAGAACUUUGUAAACUUUUGUUUUAAAAAAUAAAGUUCUACAUCUUAUUUUCACCACCAAAGAAGAGUAUGAAUUUGUUUUUGUUUUUUUUGUUUUUUUACAGGCAUGAGAAAUUAUCAACAUAUUUGUUUUGCCAUUGACCUAGUAAUUGAUCCUGAAAUACACUUUAAAAUCAUAAAAUACAGUUAUGUUUU
Long non-coding RNA from Cyprinus carpio carpio, 1056 nucleotides. The record is from Ensembl. NCBI's taxonomy places the organism in Eukaryota, Metazoa, Chordata, Actinopteri, Cypriniformes, Cyprinidae.